UGCAGAAAUGUAUAUCAAUUGAUAUAAAAUUUAUAAAUUAUAUAAAACGAAUUAUUUUAUUUUAUUUUAUUUUAGACAAAAAUAAUUAAAAUUUAUUGUUAAAUUAGUUAAAUAAUAUAUCAUACACGAUAGGCAUUUUUUUUCUCUUAUAUUGAAAGAAAUGUCUAAACUCCCACAGGUGUGUAAAGAAUUAUAUUUAACAAUGUCUGAAGGCAAAUAGUACAAAACAGAAUUUGAAUCCAGUAAAAAAAUAUAAAUCAUCCAAUUCAGCCCCUUUGAGACCAUAUCCAAGAAUCAAAAAUCAAAUCAAAUAUAGGGACAGUAAAGAUGAAGUGGCACCACUAAAGAUCAUAAAGUUUCAACGAAAACAACCAUCGUCAAGACUAGCAACCUUACUGCCAACCCACAUGGCCUCCCAAAAUCUUAAAUAAGCUACAAUAUGUAAUUUUAAGUAUUAGUUGUAUGGUGAUUGACCACUCAAACCAACUUGUGCAUAUGUUGUGAGUUGAAUUUCAUCAAUAUUUGUAUUCAUCAUUCAAAGUUUUGAUGUUUUAGUGGUAAAAUUGUGCUAUUUUGAAGAAGGUGUCGGUCAUAACUUAAGCAGUAGAUCCAUUGCAAUGCAGUUAUAGGAUUUGGAAAGAAACUGAUAAACCCAACUUUUAAGGUUUAGACAGGAGGCUUAACCACAAUAAAAUAAUAUAUUAAUAUUCUAGACUGCAGUAAGAUUUCAUCAAAAAGAAAAAGCUAAAAUACAUAAAUUCAAAAUGUUUUUUUCUUUUAGGGCUAUUUGGAUGGGGUGAAGGAAGGGCAAUUAAUGGAGGGUUAAAUAAGGGUGAGACUCUCAGGGAAUUUGAAACCUGUCUGCAAUGGAUAUUAUAUGUUUGAUUUGGGAGAUUACAAUUUCUAAACUCCAUUUUUUCUAACCAAGUUAACAGGAUAAAAUCAAUACAAUAUUCAGUUGAUGAUCUCAUAAGUGACAAACCACGAGCGGGAUGCAACCUAGUUACUGGAGAUCAUUAGAGUUUCAGCAUUCAUUUUAACUUGAAAUAUAAAGAGCAUUAACGACUUAACCCACAAGUGCAAAUUGAAUCUAGUUUUUCCUAAUCCCAAAGAAAAAUAAAAAAUCAGAUUUUCCUGACCCUUUGACCUCCUAUUUUCCUUCCACUUGCACGCACAGAUUUCUCAUAGUUGACAGCUAGAGGAGGCUUCUUGUUCUCUUUGCUCAAGCUUCUCAAUGAGUACCUGGGAUUCUCACUCCUCUCCACAUAGUANNNN
This 1275-nucleotide long non-coding RNA is filed under the name Manihot esculenta (cassava). RNAcentral describes it as "long non-coding RNA (MESC_LNC010531)". Lineage: Eukaryota; Viridiplantae; Streptophyta; Magnoliopsida; Malpighiales; Euphorbiaceae. The record is from RNAcentral.